UUAUACUUUUUAAGGAUCAGAUAGUAAAAUGUAAGCACAUGUACGAAUAAGACAAAUAAGAAACGUUUAAUGAUGAUCUAACCGAGUCAAUGAUUAAUCGUAAAACUGAAUAUUAUUACACCCAAUAGUAAACAUUAAAAAUAGAUAUAAAAAAUCUAUCAUGUACGAGAACACGUGCGUUACAAAGAUAUAAAGCAACAAAGAAUUUAGGUUAGUAACGGACGAAUAAUAAGCUAGAAUAAUCUCUUAGUUU
Molecule: long non-coding RNA, 253 nt
Filed under: Carica papaya (papaya)
Lineage: Eukaryota; Viridiplantae; Streptophyta; Magnoliopsida; Brassicales; Caricaceae
Description: long non-coding RNA (CPAP_LNC007325)
Source: RNAcentral